This 466-nucleotide long non-coding RNA is filed under the name Cricetulus griseus (Chinese hamster). RNAcentral describes it as "lncRNA (ENSCGRG00015040703.1)". Lineage: Eukaryota; Metazoa; Chordata; Mammalia; Rodentia; Cricetidae. The record is from RNAcentral.
CUAAGACAUUGUUAGGGUGGCUUUGUGCAGCCCGAAGCUGAGGUGGAGACUGGACAGAGCCAGCAAGCUGGGAGGAUGUUUGCCAAGGCUGCCUUUUCAGAGCUGAGCAGAUCUAGAUAAAUAUGCAUCCAGAGGUGAAGAGCUGGAGAUGGUGAAACCGUGUCCCUGUCUCAGUGCCCCUACCACCACCACCACCUUUGUUCAGAACUAGAAGAAAACCAGAACUUUUGAACCAGUUGUGUGAAGUUUUUGGAGGGCUGAGGAAUGCAAGUAAUGAGUGAGGAUGUGGACAAGACGGAACAUUCUGAACCCAGCCCUAGACUGAGGAUGUGGCUGGCUGAAGGAGGUCAUCACAACUUAUGUCACCACUGCACAGUUGAGAAAGUCUGGCUCUCUCCUGGCUCCUGAUUUCAACCAUCGCUACAGAGAAUGAGUUUGUCUCAGGGCUGUGCUGACUCUCUGGGGG